CGGCGACCGCCUCCCGCCGCGCGCCCUCCCCGCGCUCCACCUCUAAUAACCUCGCAGCCCGCGCGCCUGGGAAGCUCGUGCGCAGGCGCCCGCCCGGGACCUGAAGUCUGCGCGCGAGCGCAACGCGCUCGCUCUCGGGUCCGGGUUCCUGGGGCCCGCGAGGCGCGAGACGCGAGUAGGUGGGGAGUGAGCCGCGGGUAGAGCUCUCCUUGGCUGAGCCGGCAGGCUGCUGAGCGCAUGCGCCUGAGGGCUUUUACCCCUCCCUUCUUUCCCCGCUUCCAACCGGCGCGCGGCUGGAGGCUGGGAACCAGCUCCUAGGUCUUAGAGGUUCACAUCCACCAACUACCUUCCCAGGGUUGGACUGAGAAGGGGAGCAGAGGGUCCCAGGGACUCUCCUGAGAUCCUGGCUCUCCUGCCAAGGAAUUUACAUUUCCUUGUCACAGCAGCUAUCAUUUUUGCCCUUUGUGGGAAGCACCAUGUGAUAUAUCCAACUACUCUGAAACUACCACACUGUGAAGUGUCUAAUCAAGCCACCUGGAGAGACCAAAUGGAAGAAAACUAAGGCCCCUGGCCAACAGCCCCAGCUGUGCUCCUACUGGCCAGUCAGCACCAGGCUGCCACGCAUGUGACUGAUACAGUCUUGGAAGUGAAUUUUCCAGCCCUACUCAAGCUACUGCAGCUGACACCACAUGGAACAGAGAUGAGCUUUUCUCCCCAGUGCCCAAAUAGCAGAAUUGUGGGAAAAUAAAUAAAACAGUUGUAUUAAGCCA
Symphalangus syndactylus (siamang) is the source of this 770-nucleotide long non-coding RNA. RefSeq lists it as uncharacterized. Lineage: Eukaryota; Metazoa; Chordata; Mammalia; Primates; Hylobatidae. The record is from RefSeq and is a predicted model, not a curated record.